Molecule: ribosomal RNA, 468 nt
Filed under: uncultured bacterium
Lineage: Bacteria
Description: partial 16S ribosomal RNA
Rfam family: Bacterial small subunit ribosomal RNA
Source: RNAcentral
GACGAACGCUGGCGGCGUGCUUAACACAUGCAAGUCGAACGGAAAGGCCCUGCUUUUGUGGGGUGCUCGAGUGGCGAACGGGUGAGUAACACGUGAGUAACCUGCCCUUGACUUUGGGAUAACUUCAGGAAACUGGGGCUAAUAUCGGAUAGGAGCUCCUGCUGCAUGGUGGGGGUUGGAAAGUUUCGGCGGUUGGGGAUGGACUCGCGGCUUAUCAGCUUGUUGGUGGGGUAGUGGCUUACCAAGGCUUUGACGGGUAGCCGGCCUGAGAGGGUGACCGGCCACAUUGGGACUGAGGGACGGCCCAGACUCCAACGGUAGGCAGCAGUGGGGAGUAUUGCACAAUGGGCGGAAGCCUGAUGCAGCAACGCCGCGUGCGGGAUGACGGCCUUCGGGUUGUAAACCGCUUUCGCCUGUGACGAAGCGUGAGUGACGGUAAUGAGUAAAGAAGCACCGGCUAACUACGUG